Fukomys damarensis (Damara mole-rat) is the source of this 1692-nucleotide long non-coding RNA. RefSeq lists it as uncharacterized. NCBI's taxonomy places the organism in Eukaryota, Metazoa, Chordata, Mammalia, Rodentia, Bathyergidae. The transcript has 3 exons. The record is from RefSeq and is a predicted model, not a curated record.
UGGAGUUGGCUUUACCAGAGACAACUCCAAUCGGCCCACGGCUGGGGUCACAAGGUUGUCAUAGCUUGACCUACAGGUAAGAAACAGCCACGAAGUAUGUCAGUUCUCAGGUGCAACAACAGCGUCAGUGGCCGCAGAGACAGGUAACGUGGACAGCGCCGAUCAUAUCGGACACUGACCCUCCCAGCCGCCUUGAGUGAAGCGCGGUUUACAUCUUCAUUGACAGAUGGGGAAACUCAGGUACAGAGUUUAAAGAAGUUGCUCAAGAUCAUACAGCUCGUUGGAGAAGAGCCGGACUCUGACCACAAGCCGUCGGUCUCUAGCACCGGACUCCCAGCCAAGCUCAGUCUACAGUGGAGCCCAGCGUAAUCAACGCCGGCCCAUGGACCGAGUGGUUUCAAGAAACCAAUUAUGGGAAGGUGACAGCUCGGUAUCUGUACACGGACCGUCAAAUGGAGGACACCUUUUGACCUGAAGUCACAAUCAAGCAAAACUGAGGUUAUACAAAGCCCAGCAGGAGGGAGAGGGAGGGAGGGUGAGAAAAGGAGAACCAGCUCUGGAAGGGAAGACGCACUGCGCAGGAGAACGUCCGCCUCACAGACGACGAAAAUAUCCAGAGCCUAAGUAACCGACUUAUACUGGCUUACUCUAGACGCAGACUGGCUGGGACCACAAACUCAAAGGUCUGGGCCAUUUACAGGCACAAGCCUUUACCUGACUGCAGCCUGGCUCACCGGCACUACUUUCUGUACUGUUGCUUGCAGUUCUUCCCUGCCCGCGUCGUACCUGAUUGUGGCUCCUUAAUGCCCGAUGAUUUUCUUCUCUUGUCUUCCGGACUGACCCAGUUUCUCUCCGUCUCUGGCUGUCCCUGCACAGUCUGCCUUAGGAGCCCCUUCCCGCCUUCCUCCGGUGCCUACCCUCGGCUCUCCUCCCUUACACUCUCCCCGUACAAGCUUUUCUCCUCCUAUCCUGGGACAAGAACCUCAAGAUCUGGGAGUCAGUGGGUCUCUCAAUCUCCUCUUUCUCUCUGAGCUCCAGGUAAAAUUCCCAUCUGGCCUAGACGUCCUGGAAAAGUACUUAGCGUUUAGCAGGUCAAGCGGCUGGCACUGGCUCCGCCUUCACUCUAACCUAAACCACCACUCUGCCUCCUGGGUCCCAGUUUCAUCGAAUGGCAGCCGCCUACGCAAGAAAGCAUUUGUCACCUCCGAUUCCUUCUUCCACCGAUCACGCCCAGUGUCCUUCGUAAAACAUCUCAAAACCACCCACGCUUUUCACUCUGCCUCAGUUCAGCCUGCUUGGUUUCUUUGUUUUCUCUUCUUGCAUUGACACUAAAUUCCAUUUUGAAAUAUCAAUCUGAUGUUACCAUUACAGAGCUGCCCGACUGGAAACUUCCUAGCUCGGCACACAGGCCAACUAUUAUCUUGUCCCCGCUCUUACCCCUACCCCUAGUUUCUAUUCCAGCCGUACCAAACUUCUUCCUGUUCCUCACAUGGUCACUUGUGUAGUUCUACAUGGAAUAUUCUCCCCUUUUUUUUUCUAGCUAGUAGAACCUCACCUACCUUGAACAGACUGUGUCCUAAUGAGUAUAGGGAGAACCUACUGGCUUCUUCCUCUAAUGAUCACUUUACCUGAAUUCCUACUUACUCUUGCAGUUUGAAAAUUCUUAGGUUUAUUUUCUUCUUCUUCUUCUUC